This 464-nucleotide ribosomal RNA is filed under the name uncultured bacterium. Its description in RNAcentral is "partial 16S ribosomal RNA". It matches the Rfam family "Bacterial small subunit ribosomal RNA", at positions 28 to 507 of the family's 1533-position model. The record is from RNAcentral.
AUUGAACGCUGGCGGCAUGCUUUACACAUGCAAGUCGAACGGCAGCGCGGGCUUCGGCCUGGCGGCGAGUGGCGAACGGGUGAGUAAUGCAUCGGAACGUGCCCAGUAGUGGGGGAUAGCCCGGCGAAAGCCGGAUUAAUACCGCAUACGACCUGAGGGUGAAAGCGGGGGACCGAAAGGCCUCGCGCUAUUGGAGCGGCCGAUGUCGGAUUAGCUAGUUGGUGGGGUAAAGGCUUACCAAGGCGACGAUCCGUAGCUGGUCUGAGAGGGUGACCGGCCACAUUGGGACUGAGAUACGGCCCAGACUCCUACGGGAGGCAGCAGUGGGGAAUAUUGCACAAUGGGCGGAAGCCUGAUGCAGCAACGCCGCGUGCGGGAUGACGGCCUUCGGGUUGUAAACCGCUUUCGCCUGUGACGAAGCGUGAGUGACGGUAAUGGGUAAAGAAGCACCGGCUAACUACGUG